Molecule: ribosomal RNA, 877 nt
Filed under: Bacillus sonorensis
Lineage: Bacteria; Bacillati; Bacillota; Bacilli; Caryophanales; Bacillaceae
Description: bacterial SSU rRNA
Rfam family: Bacterial small subunit ribosomal RNA
Source: RNAcentral
CGAGCGGACAGAUGGGAGCUUGCUCCCUGAUGUUAGCGGCGGACGGGUGAGUAACACGUGGGUAACCUGCCUGUAAGACUGGGAUAACUCCGGGAAACCGGGGCUAAUACCGGAUGCUUGAUUGAACCGCAUGGUUCAAUUAUAAAAGGUGGCUUUUAGCUACCACUUACAGAUGGACCCGCGGCGCAUUAGCUAGUUGGUGAGGUAACGGCUCACCAAGGCAACGAUGCGUAGCCGACCUGAGAGGGUGAUCGGCCACACUGGGACUGAGACACGGCCCAGACUCCUACGGGAGGCAGCAGUAGGGAAUCUUCCGCAAUGGACGAAAGUCUGACGGAGCAACGCCGCGUGAGUGAUGAAGGUUUUCGGAUCGUAAAACUCUGUUGUUAGGGAAGAACAAGUACCGUUCGAAUAGGGCGGUACCUUGACGGUACCUAACCAGAAAGCCACGGCUAACUACGUGCCAGCAGCCGCGGUAAUACGUAGGUGGCAAGCGUUGUCCGGAAUUAUUGGGCGUAAAGCGCGCGCAGGCGGUUUCUUAAGUCUGAUGUGAAAGCCCCCGGCUCAACCGGGGAGGGUCAUUGGAAACUGGGGAACUUGAGUGCAGAAGAGGAGAGUGGAAUUCCACGUGUAGCGGUGAAAUGCGUAGAGAUGUGGAGGAACACCAGUGGCGAAGGCGACUCUCUGGUCUGUAACUGACGCUGAGGCGCGAAAGCGUGGGGAGCGAACAGGAUUAGAUACCCUGGUAGUCCACGCCGUAAACGAUGAGUGCUAAGUGUUAGAGGGUUUCCGCCCUUUAGUGCUGCAGCAAACGCAUUAAGCACUCCGCCUGGGGAGUACGGUCGCAAGACUGAAACUCAAAGGAAUUGACGGGGGG